This 85-nucleotide small nucleolar RNA is filed under the name Buceros rhinoceros silvestris. RNAcentral describes it as "Small nucleolar RNA SNORA57". It matches the Rfam family "Small nucleolar RNA SNORA57". From Rfam's summary of the family: U99 belongs to the H/ACA class of snoRNAs which are thought to guide the sites of modification of uridines to pseudouridines, the target for this family is unknown. The record is from Rfam by way of RNAcentral. Lineage: Eukaryota; Metazoa; Chordata; Aves; Bucerotiformes; Bucerotidae.
CCUCCCAUUCUUGGCAGGCCCUGGCCGCCCCGUGCCCGGGUCCGUCAUGUCCGGAGGUAGAGCAGCGACUCUUUCACGGGCACCC